GGUGCUAGUUUAGUUCGUUAUUUAUUUUCUGAAGAAAAUAUCUCCUCUUCUAUUUCUUUUUAUUUUUCAAAAUUAAAAACACCAGUAAAGAUUCAAGCUUUUGAUGAAAUCUUGAUAGGAAACAAACACAUAGGCUCUAAAUUUCAUCUGGUGUCUUAUUCCUCUUGCAAGGAAAAAACAAAUACACAUAUUAUUUCAUUUGAGUAUAAAUGCUCCAGCAGCUGCCAUCAGUAUCUCCUACUACAUGGAAUCCAUCUCCAAAGGGUCUUUACUUAGGAAUCAUGGAGUUCAAAAUGCCUAAGUGGUCAACUCUAAGUUCAGAAACGCUUCGACUGAAGUUUGGGCUGCAGCAGCAUCAGAAAGGUGUACCUCAAAUUUCCAGCACGAUCAAGUGUGCUGGUCAAAGAUCCAGACAAUAUCGAAAUCUCAAUAAACAAGAAGCUCUUCCACAGAAUGUAGAUCUUCCACCCAUACUACCAAAGAAGAAAAAGAAGCCUUAUCCCAUUCCUUUAAAGUUGAUCCAGAGGGCUGCAAGGACGGAAAAAAAACUUGCAGAAAAGGGUAUUGAGAAACCUCUUGAACCUCCAAAAAAUGGGAUACUUGUCCCUGAUCUUGUUCCUGUAGCAUAUGGGAUACUGGAUGCUUGGAAAAUUUUGAUAAAGGGAGUUACUCAACUCUUACAUGUUAUUCCUGUAUAUUGCUGCAGUGAAUGCUCAGAAGUUCAUGUGGCUCAUGCCGGUCAUGCCAUCCCGAACUGUGUUGGUCCAACUAGUGCAAAGCGACGUGGCUUGCACUCAUGGAUCAAGGCUUCGACUAAUGAUGUUCUUGUCCCAGUUGAGUCUUAUCACCUAUAUGACCCUUUUGGCCAUCGCAUCAAGCAUGAAACUCGGUUCAACUAUGACAGAAUUCCAGCUGUUGUUGAACUCUGUAUCCAAGCUGGCGUGGAUAUACCUGAGUACCCUUCUCGCCGAAGAAUGAAGCCAGUCAGAAUGAUUGGAAAAAAAGUGAUAGACAGAGGUGGAUUUGUUGAAGAGCCGACACCAUGGCGUAUUGGAAACCCAACUAUUUCUAUUGACUUCGAUACAUAUAGGGCUUGUGACCGAUUUCCACCUCCUCCAUUAGAAGAUAUACCGAGGAUUGCACAAGAGACCAUUGAUGCAUAUGAACGUGUUAGAUGGGGUGUCAGGAAGUUAAUGAGGAAAUACACUGUGAAGGCAUGUGGGUAUUGCUCAGAGGUUCACGUAGGACCUUGGGGUCACAAUGCGAAGCUCUGCGGGGAAUUCAAGCACCAGUGGAGGGACGGAAAACACGGUUGGCAGGAUGCUACCGUUGAGGAAGUUUUUCCACUUAAUUAUGCAUGGCAUGUUAGAGACCCAAAAGGCCCUCCCUUGAAGGGUAUCCUGAAAAAGUUUUAUGGAAAGGCUCCUGCUGUGGUUGAAAUGUGUAUGCAAGCAGGGGUAGAGAUCCCUGAAAAGUACAAGCCUAUGAUGAGGCUUGAUAUAAUAGUACCUGAAACUGAUGAAGCAACUUUAGUUGCAUGAAAAGGAUCUGUGGACUGGCAAUGGUAAAUGCACCACAUCUCUGCUGAAUGAUCGGACGCUUAUAUAGUCUGCUACAAUGACAAGGGGUGCAAUAAGAAAGUUCUACAUUUGUUAUAUAUUUGGAGAAUGCAAGAAUUUUCUAUUCCUCUAUAAGUUGUCUGGCUGUGUCUGGUGCGGAUGAGGCAUAUUAUGACCUACAAAUAUAUAUAGUAGAAAUUUAUGAGGAAUGCCAAAGUAAUCCCACUGGUUAAAGUUUUAUGCGGUAAAGCUUUUUACAUAAAGGUUACCAUUGUUUAAUUUGUUAUAUUUUGAUAACUUUACUUUUAUUUGUACAUCAAUAUGAGAUUACUGUAGUAAUUUAGGUCCAAAAUUGAUUGUGGCAAGACAUGUUGGAUAACAGCACAAAUUGUUGUUGCCACAAGCAAUUUUUUUACAUGAAUUGCUAUAGUCACCUCCCAUUCGUGUGAAAAUGAAAGUUCAGUUAUCAAAAUAUAACAAAUAAAAUGAUGGUAAUCAUUCUGGCAUAUAGUUCAAUAACCGUGGAAUUUUUUACUCGAUCAUAUUUCUUGAGUGCCUGCCGGCAAAGAGUCGCCGUCCGCAACUGCACUCGGAGUCUCUCUAUCAUAAUCAUUAUCUUUGUUUGUUUGUAGUUCAUGUUAGGAAAAUGAAAUUUGAACAUCUAACUAUCUCUAUCAUAAGACAGAUUAUCAACUGCUAAUUGAGUAUUGAAUAAAAGUUAGUAUUUGUUUAUCUGUGUUGAUUAACAUGCAA
Molecule: RNA transcript, 2312 nt
Organism: Mercurialis annua (annual mercury)
Lineage: Eukaryota; Viridiplantae; Streptophyta; Magnoliopsida; Malpighiales; Euphorbiaceae
Gene name: APO protein 1, chloroplastic
Exons: 6
Source: RefSeq, a predicted model, not a curated record